AGUGAAACCCUGUCUGAAAACCAACCAACCAACCAACCAACCAACCAACCAACCAACAAACAACAAACAAAACAACCACCACCAAGGAACCGUCUUCCACAGCUAAUUGUGAAGGCCCCACAUGCAUUCCAUGUAUCCAUUCAUUGCCAUGGAGACCAUCGUUGGAACAAUUCAUCUGAACAGGCCUUGAUGAAGUACAGAGACAUUGUGCCAGGAAGUGGCGCAGCUAAGGGCCAAACCAGGGCAUCUGGCUCCAGACUGUCGCCUUGGUCACACAGCCUCUAACGGUGGGAUGGACAAUAUGUAAGUAGGAGAUGGAUGAAGGUAACACUCCCGGACAGGGUGCUGUGGACUUCACUUUCCACCCCGAGCCAGGACAGAGGUCUGUGUACAAGGCUGGUUUGUGGAACGCUGUAAGUGUAAUAGACACAUGGAUGUUGGCCAAACUUAGAACAGGUAUAGACUUGAAGCUUCUACUCCCAAUGUUAAGUAGUGAAAUAAACAGCUCUGUUCUUGGCCUAACCCCAGUUUCCUGCUUUUCAGUUGGAUAAAGAUCAAGGCUCUCUUGAUUUAGGAUUACAGGAUCAAGGGACAUGACAAGGCCUGUUAAGCCAUCAGAGACUUUUCAGUGACUCUGUAAGGGACCACAUGGGGAAGGAUGCCAUGUCUAUGCCAACUCUGGAUGGUUCUGUGGAGCCAGGAGCUCCUCUCUGUGAAUGUCUGCAGUGUUACCAAGUACUGUGGGCUGUGUUCUCUUCCUUGAAGGCAUGCCUCCGCUAGAGCCGACUGAGGCCAUCUUUCUUACUUCUGACCACAUUUGACCACAAACCUUCCCAUUCUGAGAUGCUUUCACGCUUCUGCUCAAGGGCCAAUGCGUUAGGCCAAGAAAAGUGCCCAACUGGAUUUUCAGGAUAGCGGUGGGACGGCAGGGAGUAGAGAUCUGUGGACAUGGACUAGAAUGACUUAAAACGACAAAUAAAUAUAUAAAAAAAAAUACCCUGAAGAAAAAAAAAAUGAAGUUUUCAUUUCACUGGAGGACUUUUCAAAUCAUGUUUUAUGUCACAGUCCAAAAGCGACACUUCGACAUGGAGUCAUCUUCUCCUGGAAAGAGUGUAACAAGUGACAAAUGGGGACAGCAUGAUCAGGCAACAACAGACAAUGACCCCUAGCAGACUAACGGAGAGAGAGAGAUGCGGUAGGCUCAGUUCUCAUAAUCACAUUUCAGAGCAUGGUUUACUGCAGUCAAUAUUCCUUUGACAGACCUGCUCAAGUGACAGGUGGUGACCAGUAGCCCAAGAGCUAAAUGUCCCUCUCUUCUCCGCCAUCUGAGGCUUCAGAGCUGCUUUUCUGGCUCACUCUAUUGUGACAAAGCCAUUCUUCACAUGACCUGUGCCAUUCUUCACAUAGCUUUGGUGGAGGAGAAACAGGUUAAAAACAACCAGUAGACAGAACAGACCAUGUGAGCAGACAAGGUUUCAGCUGAGAGAGAAAGAAGGCCGGAGAGUUGCCCAUGGAGAUAAGCACACAGAUUCGAUUUCCUAUCCACUGCAACUCCAGGAGGAAGAAGUCGCCUUCACAGCUGGAGGAAUAGGAUGCUUGAAGGGAUGAAGGAACCCAGAGUGGCGUUUAACAUUUGCUGAAGGAGAUGCUUUGAGUGGUGGAUUCUAGCAUUUAUAGGAUGACUUGGUGAUCAUCUCUUCUUUCCCUGCCCUUCAGUGCCAUCCCAGUACUGCUGACCUCACGCCUUACAAUAUCUAUCUCAACACUUCUCAUGUGAGCACUCUGAACUUCCAGAGGUAAAGACAAAAGGUCCUCUUCAUCGCAUAUUAGAUUUUGAAUUUUAAGAAACAAAAUUCUUUCCCGAAGCAUGCCCUCCCCCAGUUUUCCGAACAGCUUUGCUUUUGUUAGUUCAGGCAGCUGUGGCAAAUACCGCAGACUGGGUAACUG
Peromyscus maniculatus bairdii (prairie deer mouse) is the source of this 1947-nucleotide non-coding RNA. NCBI's taxonomy places the organism in Eukaryota, Metazoa, Chordata, Mammalia, Rodentia, Cricetidae. The record is from RefSeq and is a predicted model, not a curated record.